This 468-nucleotide long non-coding RNA is filed under the name Prunus persica (peach). Its description in RNAcentral is "long non-coding RNA (PPER_LNC006335)". The record is from RNAcentral. Lineage: Eukaryota; Viridiplantae; Streptophyta; Magnoliopsida; Rosales; Rosaceae.
AACAAUUAGACCUACCCCCCCGAAGACCAUCUCGCAAAUCUAAAGCAACAUCGACAUUGAGCUUAAAAAAACCAACAUGAGGAGGACGCCAAUGUUGGUUCGAAAUGGGCAAAGAAAUACACUUAUGAAGUAGUAACUGUGAUUGAUGAUAUCCCACAACAUAGUUUAUUUGUACCACAUUUGACCCGCCACUCACGCUAUGACACGUGGAAAGAGCACAACACUAAGGAAGACCCUAUGACCCACACUAGCAAACCAAGUGGUAUGGAUCGGUAGGUACCUUCGGUACCCACCACUGAUCCAGCGUCCAAACGUAGCCCUGUGACCUUGCUGGCAAGGUCGGUCCAACAAACGACAGGUGCUUUCGACUAUAUCCUCCGAUAGGUCGUCUUAUAUAUACGUCUGGUAAGCCUUGCCAAUUUUGCGCCUUGGAAAGGGGAUCUUACGAGAUAACCUCGAACCCCUCGC